RNAcentral lists this ribosomal RNA (301 nucleotides) under uncultured bacterium. Its description in RNAcentral is "partial 16S ribosomal RNA". It matches the Rfam family "Bacterial small subunit ribosomal RNA", at positions 509 to 807 of the family's 1533-position model. The record is from RNAcentral.
CAGCCGCCACGGUAAUACAGAGGGUGCGAGCGUUAAUCGGAUUUACUGGGCGUAAAGCGUGCGUAGGCGGCUAAUUGAGUCGGAUGUGAAAUCCCCGAGCUUAACUUGGGAAUUGCAUUCGAUACUGGUUAGCUAGAGUGUGGGAGAGGAUGGUAGAAUUCCAGGUGUAGCGGUGAAAUGCGUAGAGAUCUGGAGGAAUACCGAUGGCGAAGGCAGCCAUCUGGCCUAACACUGACGCUGAGGUACGAAAGCAUGGGGAGCAAACAGGAUUAGAUACCCGGGUAGUCCCUGUCUCUUAUAC